RNAcentral lists this ribosomal RNA (460 nucleotides) under uncultured bacterium. Its description in RNAcentral is "partial 16S ribosomal RNA". It matches the Rfam family "Bacterial small subunit ribosomal RNA", at positions 338 to 795 of the family's 1533-position model. The record is from RNAcentral.
CCUACGGGAGGCAGCAGUGAGGAAUAUUGGUCAAUGGGCGCGAGUCUGAACCAGCCAAGUAGCGUGAAGGAUGACUGCCCUACGGGUUGUAAACUUCUUUUAUAAAGGAAUAAAGUUAGGCACGUGUACCUUUCUGUAUGUACUUUAUGAAUAAGGAUCGGCUAACUCCGUGCCAGCAGCCGCGGUAAUACGGAGGAUCCGAGCGUUAUCCGGAUUUAUUGGGUUUAAAGGGAGCGUAGAUGGGUUGUUAAGUCAGUGGUGAAAGUUCGCGGCUUAACCGUAAAAUUGCCAUUGAUACUGGUAGUCUUGAGUACAGUUGAGGUAGGCGGAAUUCGUGGUGUAGCGGUGAAAUGCUUAGAUAUCACGCAGAACUCCGAUUGCGAAGGCAGCUUACUAAACUGUCACUGACAUUGAUGCUCGAAAGUGUGGGUAUCAAACAGGAUUAGAUACCCUUGUAGUC